This 243-nucleotide unclassified non-coding RNA is filed under the name Hevea brasiliensis (rubber tree). Lineage: Eukaryota; Viridiplantae; Streptophyta; Magnoliopsida; Malpighiales; Euphorbiaceae. The record is from RNAcentral.
AAAAAAAAAAAAAAAAAACAUGAUAUCUUGCAGAAGAAAAAGACAUAGAAGAUCAUACUUAUCAUAAAGAAUGUUCACUUGUGGAAAAUUGAGGUAAUUUUCUGAAAAAAAAUUUCAAAAAAAAAACUGAAAAACAGAGUUUCAUAUUCACAUGUGCUAAUUUUCUAAAUGGAGAACUGGAAAAUCAAUUUUCCAAAAUUUAACUAAAAUGUGAAAAAGUUUUAAAUUGUUUUCCACUGUUUU